GAUGAACGCUGGCGGCGUGCCUAAUACAUGCAAGUCGAGCGAACAGAUGAGGAGCUUGCUCCUCUGACGUUAGCGGCGGACGGGUGAGUAACACGUGGCUAACCUACCUAUAAGACUGGGAUAACUUCGGGAAACCGGAGCUAAUACCGGAUAAUAUAUUGAACCGCAUGGUUCAAUAGUGAAAGACGGUUUUGCUGUCACUUAUAGAUGGAUCCGCGCCGCAUUAGCUAGUUGGUAAGGUAACGGCUUACCAAGGCAACGAUGCGUAGCCGACCUGAGAGGGUGAUCGGCCACACUGGAACUGAGACACGGUCCAGACUCCUACGGGAGGCAGCAGUAGGGAAUCUUCCGCAAUGGGCGAAAGCCUGACGGAGCAACGCCGCGUGAGUGAUGAAGGUCUUCGGAUCGUAAAACUCUGUUAGUAGGGAAGAACAAAUGUGUAAGUAACUAUGCACGUCUUGACGGUACCUAAUCAGAAAGCCACGGCUAACUACGUG
RNAcentral lists this ribosomal RNA (497 nucleotides) under uncultured bacterium. RNAcentral's name for it is "partial 16S ribosomal RNA". It matches the Rfam family "Bacterial small subunit ribosomal RNA", at positions 28 to 507 of the family's 1533-position model. The record is from RNAcentral.